RNAcentral lists this ribosomal RNA (116 nucleotides) under Patescibacteria group bacterium. The record is from RNAcentral.
CUAGGUAUCUUUAGAGAAGGGGGUACACCUGUUCCCAUUCCGAACACAGCAGUUAAGCCCUUCAUCGCCGAUAGUACUAUAGUGUUUAGCUAUGGAAGGGUAGGACGAUGCCUAGA